AGUGAACGCUGGCGGUAGGCCUAACACAUGCAAGUCGAACGGCAGCACAGUAAGAGCUUGCUCUUACGGGUGGCGAGUGGCGGACGGGUGAGGAAUACAUCGGAAUCUACUUUUUCGUGGGGGAUAACGUAGGGAAACUUACGCUAAUACCGCAUACGACCUACGGGUGAAAGCAAGGGAUCUUCGGACCUUGCGCGUUUGAAUGAGCCGAUGUCGGAUUAGCUAGUUGGCUAGGUAAAGGCACACCAAGGCGACGAUCCGUAGCUGGUCUGAGAGGAUGAUCGGCCACACUGGAACUGAGACACGGUCCAGACUCCUACGGGAGGCAGCAGUGGGGAAUAUUGGACAAUGGGCGCAAGCCUGAUCCAGCCAUACCGCGUGGGUGAAGAAGGCCUUCGGGUUGUAAAGCCCUUUUGUUGGGAAAGAAAAGCAGCAGGUUAAUACCCCGCUGUUCUGACGGUACCCAAAGAAUAAGCACCGGCUAACUUCGUG
RNAcentral lists this ribosomal RNA (492 nucleotides) under uncultured bacterium. RNAcentral describes it as "partial 16S ribosomal RNA". It matches the Rfam family "Bacterial small subunit ribosomal RNA", at positions 29 to 507 of the family's 1533-position model. The record is from RNAcentral.